RNAcentral lists this ribosomal RNA (460 nucleotides) under uncultured bacterium. RNAcentral describes it as "partial 16S ribosomal RNA". It matches the Rfam family "Bacterial small subunit ribosomal RNA", at positions 338 to 795 of the family's 1533-position model. The record is from RNAcentral.
CCUACGGGGGGCAGCAGUGAGGAAUAUUGGUCAAUGGCCGAGAGGCUGAACCAGCCAAGUCGCGUGAGGGAAGACGGCCCUACGGGUUGUAAACCUCUUUUGUCGGGGAGUAAAGAGAGUCACGUGUGACUCAUUGAGAGUACCCGAAGAAAAAGCAUCGGCUAACUCCGUGCCAGCAGCCGCGGUAAUACGGAGGAUCCGGGCGUUAUCCGGAUUUAGUGGGUUUAAAGGGGGCGUAGGGGGGGGGGGAAGUCAGGCGUCAAAUUUGCGGGCCCAACCCCGGUACUGCGUGUGAAACUGGAUGCCUUGAGUGCGCGAGAGGUAUGCGGAAUGCGUGGUGUAGCGGUGAAAUGCGUAGAUAUCACGCAGAACUCCGAUUGCGAAGGCAGCAUACCGGCGCGCAACUGACGUUCAUGCGCGAAAGCGUGGGUAUCAAACAGGAUUAGAUACCCCAGUAGUC